This 501-nucleotide ribosomal RNA is filed under the name uncultured bacterium. RNAcentral's name for it is "partial 16S ribosomal RNA". It matches the Rfam family "Bacterial small subunit ribosomal RNA", at positions 28 to 523 of the family's 1533-position model. The record is from RNAcentral.
GACGAACGCUGGCGGCGUGCCUAACACAUGCAAGUCGAACGGCAGCACGGGUGCUUGCACCUGGUGGCGAGUGGCGAACGGGUGAGUAAUACAUCGGAACGUACCUUAUCGUGGGGGAUAACGCGGCGAAAGUUGCGCUAAUACCGCAUACGCCCUGAGGGGGAAAGCGGGGGACCGUAAGGCCUCGCGCGAUUAGAGCGGCCGAUGUCUGAUUAGCUUGUUGGUGAGGUAAAAGCUCACCAAGGCGAUGAUCAGUAGCUGGUCUGAGAGGACGAUCAGCAACAGUGGGACGGGGACACGGCCCAGACUCCUACGGGGGGAAGCAGUGGGGAAUUUUGGACAAGGGGGGCAACCCUGAUCCAGCAAGGCGGCGUGAGGGAAGAAGGCCUUCGGGUUGUAAAGCUCUUUUGUCAGGGAAGAAACAGCAGCUCUAACACAGUCUGCGAAUGACGGUACCUGAAGAAUAAGCACCGGCUAACUACGUGCCAGCCGCCGCCGUAA